Molecule: ribosomal RNA, 310 nt
Filed under: uncultured Glomus
Lineage: Eukaryota; Fungi; Glomeromycota; Glomeromycetes; Glomerales; Glomeraceae
Description: SSU rRNA
Rfam family: Eukaryotic small subunit ribosomal RNA
Source: RNAcentral
CGCAGCCGCGGUAAUUCCAGCUCCAAUAGCGUAUAUUAAAGUUGCUGCAGUUAAAAAGCUCGUAGUUGAAUUUCGGGACUAAUAUGUCGGUCGUGCCUCGGUACGUACUGGUAUUUUUGGUUUCUCCCUUCUGACGAACCUUGAUGUCAUUAAUUUGGUGUCUUGGAAAUCAGGACUGUUACUUAGAAAAAAUUAGAGUGUUUAAAGCAGGCUCACGCUUGAAUACAUUAGCAUGGAAUAAUGAAAUAGGACGUUUGAUUCUAUUUUGUUGGUUUCUAGGAUUGACGUAAUGAUUAAGUAGGGAUAGGUU